CACCAGGCUGUGUUUUUAUUUCACCGCGUAGCUAUUAAGACCAUUAUGACCAGGUUAUGUUUUCCGAUGAGUGCUUUAGAAAUGGUUACUGGGACGUUGUGGUCGCAUUAGCAAAGUUACAUUUAAACGCAUUGGUGUCAAGGCUUUUCCUUGGUGAUGAAACUCACGGUAACGGCACUGAUUUAGCCAUUACUGGUAAUGACAGGGUUUUAAUGUUAUGGCAAUGAAAGCUGUGGCCGCAGUUUUGCUACAGUUAAAAUAUAUUCAAAAGAACUACUGAGCGAGCUGUUAGCAACGAUUGGUUCCGUUCUCUCGUGUGUGAACGUCAUGCCAGACCCUAUUCAAUUAUUUGGUAAUAUUAAUUGGUCUUACUCAUGGGCAACAGAUGGGACACUGAGUAACAUGUUCCUGCAGACUGUGCAGUAGAGGAGGCUGCAGUUUCAGGACCGCAUUUCUAGGACCCUAGUUUUUCGUGACACUGCCACCUACUGAAUUGGAUAACUGAGGACUGCAUUUGUAGGAUACAUGGACAAGAUGGACGAUAAUCAGAGUGAUAUACCAUUAGAUUGCCGACCACAAUGGCAUUACCACUGCAUCCACUGCCAGUCAAUGCUGUCAUGUAAACCGGACUUGAGUAAACACCUGUCUUCGUGCAAGGAGAAGCACCCUGUCUGUCUUUUUUUCCACUUUGGGGGUGGGGGGGUGUUGUAUUGUCCUUGUUGAAUCUGGUUUAUAUAUUGUGGCUUGUUAUUGUUUAUUGUAUCCAUAAAAAACAGUAUAUAAUCUUGAA
Long non-coding RNA from Siniperca chuatsi (mandarin fish), 790 nucleotides. RefSeq lists it as uncharacterized. The transcript has 3 exons. The record is from RefSeq and is a predicted model, not a curated record. Lineage: Eukaryota; Metazoa; Chordata; Actinopteri; Centrarchiformes; Sinipercidae.